GAGGUCACCGACGUCAACUAGGGGCCUUCCUUCAAUGGGCAAAGGCCAACUGCCCUUUUACAGUUUCUCUCCUUUUGACGGGCUCAGGAGACAACCCUUACAGAUCCUUUCUCUCCUCUCUUUACAACUCAAGACUUGAAGAACAGAAAAGAGGAGAACUUUAGGACUUUACACAAAUUUGAGCUCUUAGAAUCACUGAAAAGAUCAAGAAUUCGGUGUGGAUCUGUAUCUUUUCAGUGCUGAAUGGGUGGGGUAUUUGUAGGCCCCAACCCAAUUCAAAUUUGGAGCUCAAAAUGAUCAAAUCCCGGAAUUCCGGGAUCGGGCGG
This 326-nucleotide long non-coding RNA is filed under the name Musa acuminata (dwarf banana). Its description in RNAcentral is "long non-coding RNA (MACU_LNC011328)". The record is from RNAcentral. Lineage: Eukaryota; Viridiplantae; Streptophyta; Magnoliopsida; Zingiberales; Musaceae.